AAUACUAUCCACGAAGCUGGUGAUAUUUGGCCGUCUAGGUUGCUAAAUGUCUGAAAAGGGAAUCUGGUGAAAAUCCAGAACUGACGCGCAGCGGUAAGAGAGAACGAACACUCCAUGAAGACACUGCUUUUAGUGGGAAGUCGAGUUAGUAGGUUUCAUGCUCUUAAGUCCGAAGACCUGCCAGCAACUGAGUAUAGCA
Molecule: non-coding RNA, 199 nt
Filed under: Vibrio cincinnatiensis
Lineage: Bacteria; Pseudomonadati; Pseudomonadota; Gammaproteobacteria; Vibrionales; Vibrionaceae
Source: RNAcentral